AGAGUUUGAUCCUGGCUCAGGAUGAACGCUGGCGGCGUGCUUAACACAUGCAAGUCGAACGAAGCAACCAUGAAGCCUAGCGAUUGGUUGACUGAGUGGCGGACGGGUGAGUAACGCGUGGGUAACCUGCCUCAUACAGGGGGACAACAGUUAGAAAUGACUGCUAAUACCGCAUAACCCGCUAGGGCCGCAUGGCCCGGACGGAAAAGGAGCAAUCCGGUAUGAGAUGGACCCGCGUCUGAUUAGCUAGUUGGUGGGGUAACGGCCUACCAAGGCAACGAUCAGUAGCCGAACUGAGAGGUUGACCGGCCACAUUGGGACUGAGACACGGCCCAAACUCCUACGGGAGGCAGCA
Molecule: ribosomal RNA, 355 nt
Filed under: uncultured bacterium
Lineage: Bacteria
Description: bacterial SSU rRNA
Rfam family: Bacterial small subunit ribosomal RNA
Source: RNAcentral